GUAGGUGAACCUGCGGAAGGAUCAUUAACACGUAUCCACGUUAAUAACCCGAGAACUCUUAGGAGAGAGUCCCUUUCCUUUUGGAAAAGGACAAUCUCCUUUGAUUAAUAACUUAAAGAGCGAAUGCUUUACCUGAGUCUCUCAGGUUAAGGUACUUCAAUCUUUAUGUUAUUUGCCUUUAGGGGACAAGUCUUCGGAUGCGACCCCUAAAGGUUACUUGAAACCCCUUUUUUCUAACUUAAAGGCCGUC
This 250-nucleotide unclassified non-coding RNA is filed under the name plant metagenome. RNAcentral's name for it is "partial contains small subunit ribosomal RNA, internal transcribed spacer 1, and 5.8S ribosomal RNA". The record is from RNAcentral.